AGAUUUGAUCAUGGCUCAGGACGAACGCUGGCGGGUGCCUAACACAUGCAAGUCGUACGAGGGCAGUCCUUCGGGACUGACCCGAGUGGCGGACGGGUGAGUAACACGUGACCAAUCUGCCUUGGAGAGGGGGAUAACCUGGGGGAACUCGGGCUAAUACCGCAUGAAGUGUCGUGCUCGCAUGGGCGUGACACCAAAGGGAGGCCUCUACUUGUAAGCUUCCGCUCUGAGAGGAGGUCGCGACGUAUCAGCUAGUUGGUAGGGUAACGGCCUACCAAGGCUUCGACGCGUAGCGGGUCUGAGAGGACGACCGUCACAUUGGGACUGAGAUACGGCCCAGACUCCUACAGGAGGCAGCAGUGGGGAAUAUUGCGCAAUGGUCGAAAGACUGACGCAGCGACGCCGCGUGUGGGAGGAAGCCCUUCGGGGUGUAAACCACUGUCGGGAGGGACGAACGGCGGACGGGCGAAUAGCCCGGACGAUUGACGGUACCUCCAAAGGAAGCACCGGCUAACCCUGUGCCAGCAGCCGCGGUAAUACAGGGGUGCAAGCGUUGUUCGGAAUUACUGGGCGUAAGCGCGGGCAGGUGGCCUUUUAAGUCCUUUGUGAAAUCCCGGGGCUCAACUCCGGAUGUGCAUAGGAUACUGGAAGGCUAAGACUGGUAAGGCGAGCGGAAUUCCUGGUGUAGCGGUGGAUGCGUAGAUAUCAGAAGACACGGUGG
Molecule: ribosomal RNA, 721 nt
Filed under: uncultured bacterium
Lineage: Bacteria
Description: bacterial SSU rRNA
Rfam family: Bacterial small subunit ribosomal RNA
Source: RNAcentral